This 67-nucleotide transfer RNA is filed under the name Corynorhinus rafinesquii (Rafinesque's big-eared bat). RNAcentral describes it as "tRNA-Trp". Lineage: Eukaryota; Metazoa; Chordata; Mammalia; Chiroptera; Vespertilionidae. The record is from RNAcentral.
AGAGGUUUAGGUUAUUCAGACCAAGGGCCUUCAAAGCCCUAAGAAGAUAUGCAAUAUCUAACCCCUG